This 116-nucleotide ribosomal RNA is filed under the name Escherichia coli. RNAcentral's name for it is "partial 16S ribosomal RNA". It matches the Rfam family "Bacterial small subunit ribosomal RNA", at positions 1 to 107 of the family's 1533-position model. RNAcentral also lists the same sequence under 1 other name. The record is from RNAcentral. Lineage: Bacteria; Pseudomonadati; Pseudomonadota; Gammaproteobacteria; Enterobacterales; Enterobacteriaceae.
UUAAAUUGAAGAGUUUGAUCAUGGCUCAGAUUGAACGCUGGCGGCAGGCCUAACACAUGCAAGUCGAACGGUAACAGGAAUCAGCUUGCUGAUUCGCUGACGAGUGGCGGACGGGU